Molecule: long non-coding RNA, 573 nt
Organism: Amphiprion ocellaris (clown anemonefish)
Lineage: Eukaryota; Metazoa; Chordata; Actinopteri; Pomacentridae
Source: Ensembl
CUCGAGAGAGGCUCCUCUCUUCGUCUGCUUUCUGCUGAAGUGCAGUAGCGAAAUGUGCACGAUGGCAAAGGAUGAUUUCCUGAUCCCAGACAUCAGUAAGGAUUCCACAACAAAGAUACCUGGAAGCACUGAUGAGGAACGUCGGUAACCUUUCACUAUGCAGCAGCUUGAUACAGAUCACUGACCAGCUGCUAAGAGGGGUCCUGACUGUCGUGUCGCUGACUGACUUUGAUUUUGAUUCCAAAAUCAACUGUACUACUGCAAAUCAGACUGUUGAUGAUAACUCUGAUUUCGCCUUGUCUGUAAAAUAAAUAAAUGUCAGUACUGGUCUGCUAAUCUCUCCCAGUUUGUACGUAUUACAGUAUAGCAAUGGUCUUAAUGACACAUAGAAGGAAUGUGUAAGCACAGUUUUGCAGUUUCUCAAAAGAGAAUCUGAGCCCUUACGUCUGUCUGGAGAAGCCUGAAAUUGCUCUCAAAGCUCACUGAAGUUGUUACCUUAUUUUAACUGAGAUCCAGGGAAACUAGCAUGUCUGAGUCCAAAUGUCAACGGGCUCAAUUAGCACUCACUGUCAC